GCCAGGCACAAUGCAGCAUGCCUGUAGUCCCAGCUACUUGGGAGGCUGAGGCUGGAGGAUCUCUUGAGUCCAGGAGUUCUGGGCUGUAGUGUGCUAUGCUGAUGGGGUGUCUGCACUAAGUUCAGCAUCAAUAUGGUGACCUCCCAGAUGCUGGGGACUACCAGGUUGCCUAAGGAGGGGUGAACCGGCCCAGGUCGGAAAUGGAGCAGGUCAAAAUUCCUGUGCUGAUUAGUAGUGGGAUGCUACCUGUGAAUAGCCACUGCACUCCAGACUGGGCAACAUAGCAAGACCCUGUCUCUU
Callithrix jacchus (white-tufted-ear marmoset) is the source of this 300-nucleotide unclassified non-coding RNA. It matches the Rfam family "Metazoan signal recognition particle RNA". Rfam says of the family: The signal recognition particle (SRP) is a universally conserved ribonucleoprotein. The record is from Ensembl. Lineage: Eukaryota; Metazoa; Chordata; Mammalia; Primates; Cebidae.